Molecule: non-coding RNA, 101 nt
Filed under: Pacificitalea manganoxidans
Lineage: Bacteria; Pseudomonadati; Pseudomonadota; Alphaproteobacteria; Rhodobacterales; Paracoccaceae
Also listed under: 1 other name
Description: TPP riboswitch aptamer (THI element)
Rfam family: TPP riboswitch aptamer (THI element)
About the family: Vitamin B(1) in its active form thiamin pyrophosphate (TPP) is an essential coenzyme that is synthesised by coupling of pyrimidine and thiazole moieties in bacteria.
Source: Rfam by way of RNAcentral
GCAUAUCCGUUGGGGUGCCCGCAAGGGCUGAGAGGCUGCAAAGCCGACCCAUCGAACCUGAUCCGGGCAAUGCCGGCGUAGGGAACGGAGAUCGACCUUGG